GUAGGUGAACCUGCGGAGGGAUCAUUAACACGUAUCCACGUACCACUAGUAAGCCCUUUAUGGUUAACUCAAAGGUUUCGACAACCCAGUGCUAUGAGAUUUCACAAACAGUAGGACGGCCUAAAAACCGUUGUCUCAUCUGGAUAGAAACCUCGUCGUGAAAUGACACAAAAAAUUUCCCGGACUCUUCGGGGUUCGCAGUUUGCUACUGUUUUGUAUCCUGUUGUACCUUUUACCAUUUGUAACCUUC
This 250-nucleotide unclassified non-coding RNA is filed under the name plant metagenome. RNAcentral's name for it is "partial contains small subunit ribosomal RNA, internal transcribed spacer 1, and 5.8S ribosomal RNA". The record is from RNAcentral.